UAGGGAAUAUUGCACAAUGGGCGAAAGCCUGAUGCAGCAACGCCGCGUGAGGGAUGAAGGUCUUCGGAUUGUAAACCUCUUUUCUAAGGGACGAGUGAGGACGGUACCUUAGGAAUAAGCAACGGCUAACUACGUGCCAGCAGCCGCGGUAAUAA
RNAcentral lists this ribosomal RNA (155 nucleotides) under uncultured bacterium. RNAcentral describes it as "partial 16S ribosomal RNA". It matches the Rfam family "Bacterial small subunit ribosomal RNA", at positions 355 to 526 of the family's 1533-position model. The record is from RNAcentral.